UGGCUCAGAUGGUAAAGUGUCUGCCUACAAUGCAGAAGACCCUGGUUCAAUCCCUGG
RNAcentral lists this transfer RNA (57 nucleotides) under Ovis aries (sheep). It matches the Rfam family "tRNA", at positions 8 to 63 of the family's 71-position model. From Rfam's summary of the family: Transfer RNA (tRNA) molecules are approximately 80 nucleotides in length. The record is from Rfam by way of RNAcentral. Lineage: Eukaryota; Metazoa; Chordata; Mammalia; Artiodactyla; Bovidae.